CGUUAAAUUGCCAUUUCAGACCAAGUAUGUAAAUUUUGACAGUGUAUGACGUCAAAGUAACAUCGUAAUUGACCUUUGUGUAUAUUAAUUCCAUUACAAAAGUCUUCUCCUGAAAUAACUGUGACAAAUUUAACCAUAUUUGGCCACAAUCAGCAGUAGGGCAUCUAGUUUAAAAAAAAUUAUCGGAUGACCCUGGCUGUCAACCAGACAAGGCUUUUAAUACAACAUAGAGGGAAAUGCAGUUUUUGACUUAUAUCUCUGAGACUAAGGCAAAAGUACAAUGAUUGCAUUAUUUCAUGCAUGAAUUGUAAAUAAAAAUAUCACAUGAGCGACACA
Molecule: long non-coding RNA, 336 nt
Filed under: Mytilus galloprovincialis (Mediterranean mussel)
Lineage: Eukaryota; Metazoa; Mollusca; Bivalvia; Mytilida; Mytilidae
Source: RNAcentral